Long non-coding RNA from Poecile atricapillus (Black-capped chickadee), 277 nucleotides. RefSeq lists it as uncharacterized. The record is from RefSeq and is a predicted model, not a curated record. Lineage: Eukaryota; Metazoa; Chordata; Aves; Passeriformes; Paridae. The transcript is spliced from 3 exons.
GUGCUGAGAACUUGCUGGACAGUGGUGCCUCUCAAUGUGUUCCAAGAAGGAAGAGGAGUUCAAAGCAGUGCUUGAUGGAUAAUGUGACUGCAGUGGUUUGGAAUUACCAGCUUCUGAAUGACUGGAAGCAGGGGAGGUUGCAGUGCUGUGGACACAGGUGUGCAGACUGGAACCCCUCAGACCCCAGGACAGCUGGAACCUGAACUUCCCCAGGUAGCUCAACCACCCUGAUUUCACACUCUCUGCCUGUGGGCUUGGGACUCUUAUUUAAGCUCAA